AAACAGAUAACUGUUACCAGUUUCACCUUACAACUUAUCAUUUCUUCCAGCAAGCUAGCCGAAGUAUCGACUUGCUAAAUUCUGGCAGAAGCAAAGGAGAUAUUAGGCCUUUUCGCUAGCUUUGAACAAGAUUAACUUACCAUAGAUCUCAUGGAAUGAGAAUGUCCAGGUAAUUGUCAUGGCCUAUCUUAAUUAGAUAUAAUAAAAUUCAACCUGAAACUUAAUCGCUAA
RNAcentral lists this unclassified non-coding RNA (231 nucleotides) under Hevea brasiliensis (rubber tree). The record is from RNAcentral. Lineage: Eukaryota; Viridiplantae; Streptophyta; Magnoliopsida; Malpighiales; Euphorbiaceae.